AAUCAACGCUGGCGGCGUGCCUAACACAUGCAAGUCGAACGCGAAGACCCCGCAAGGGGUUGUUAGCGUGGCAAACGGGUGAGUAACACGUGGGUGACCUGCCUUCGAGUGGGGGAUAACGUCCCGAAAGGGACGCUAAUACCGCAUAACAUCCUGCCUUUAGAUAGGUGGAGAGCAAAGCUGGGGAUCGCAAGACCCGGCGCUUGAAG
RNAcentral lists this ribosomal RNA (209 nucleotides) under uncultured Acidobacteriota bacterium. Its description in RNAcentral is "uncultured Acidobacteria bacterium partial 16S ribosomal RNA". It matches the Rfam family "Bacterial small subunit ribosomal RNA", at positions 32 to 224 of the family's 1533-position model. Lineage: Bacteria; Pseudomonadati; Acidobacteriota. The record is from RNAcentral.